GGAUCUUGGGUGAUGCACCCCGGAAUCGGGCUCCCUCCUUUCUGGUUCCGGGGUGUAUCACCUGAGAACC
Myotis brandtii (Brandt's bat) is the source of this 70-nucleotide non-coding RNA. The record is from Rfam. NCBI's taxonomy places the organism in Eukaryota, Metazoa, Chordata, Mammalia, Chiroptera, Vespertilionidae.